CGUAGGCGGUCUUGCAAGUCCCGUGUGAAAUCCCUCGGCUCAACUGAGGAACUGCACGGGAAACUGCUUGGCUUGAGUUCGGGAGAGGGAAGCGGAAUUCCGGGUGUAGCGGUGAAAUGCGUAGAUAUCCGGAGGAACACCGGUGGCGAAGGCGGCUUCCUGGACCGACACUGACGCUGAGGCGCGAAAGCUAGGGGAGCAAAACG
Molecule: ribosomal RNA, 206 nt
Filed under: uncultured bacterium
Lineage: Bacteria
Description: partial 16S ribosomal RNA
Rfam family: Bacterial small subunit ribosomal RNA
Source: RNAcentral